AGCGAACGCCNUGCGGCAUGCUUAACACAUGCAAGUCGCACGGGCAGGGGCAACCCUGUCAGUGGCGGACGGGUGAGUAACGCGUAGGUAUCUAUCCUUGGGUGGGGGACAACUGUGGGAAACUACAGCUAAUACCGCAUGAUGACCGAGGUCCAAAGCUCGCGAGAGCGCCUGGGGAGGAGCCUGCGUACGAUUAGCUAGUUGGUGGGGUAAAGGCCUACCAAGGCGACGAUCGUUAGCUGGUCUGAGAGGAUGAUCAGCCACAUUGGGACUGAGACACGGCCCAAACUCCUACGGGAGGCAGCAGUGGGGAAUAUUGGACAAUGGGCGAAAGCCUGAUCCAGCAAUGCCGCGUGUGUGAAGAAGGUCUUCGGAUUGUAAAGCACUUUCGACGGGGACGAUGAUGACGGUACCCGUAGAAGAAGCCCCGGCUAACUUCGUGCCAGCAGCCGCGGUAAUACGAAGGGGGCUAGCGUUGCUCGGAAUGACUGGGCGUAAAGGGCGCGUAGGCGGAUGGCACAGUCAGAUGUGAAAUUCCCGGGCUUAACCUGGGGGCUGCAUUUGAUACGUGUUGUCUAGAGUGAGGAAGAGGGUUGUGGAAUUCCCAGUGUAGAGGUGAAAUUCGUAGAUAUUGGGAAGAACACCGGUGGCGAAGGCGGCAACCUGGUCCUUGACUGACGCUGAGGCGCGAAAGCGUGGGGAGCAAACAGGAUUAGAUACCCUGGUAGUCCACGCUGUAAACGAUGUGUGCUGGAUGUUGGGCGACCUAGUCGCUCAGUGUCGUAGCUAACGCGAUAAGCACACCGCCUGGGGAGUACGGCCGCAAGGUG
This 830-nucleotide ribosomal RNA is filed under the name uncultured bacterium. RNAcentral's name for it is "bacterial SSU rRNA". It matches the Rfam family "Bacterial small subunit ribosomal RNA", at positions 28 to 895 of the family's 1533-position model. The record is from RNAcentral.